AAAAAGGAUUUAUUUAAAUCCACAUCAUUUAUAUAUGUUUUUGUUU
Picea glauca (white spruce) is the source of this 46-nucleotide non-coding RNA. The record is from Rfam. NCBI's taxonomy places the organism in Eukaryota, Viridiplantae, Streptophyta, Pinopsida, Pinales, Pinaceae.